This 876-nucleotide ribosomal RNA is filed under the name uncultured bacterium. RNAcentral's name for it is "bacterial SSU rRNA". It matches the Rfam family "Bacterial small subunit ribosomal RNA", at positions 28 to 896 of the family's 1533-position model. The record is from RNAcentral.
GAUGAACGCUAGCGGGAGGCUUAAUACAUGCAAGUCGAACGGCAACAGGAUUAAUUUUCGGAUUGAUUGCUGGCGAGUGGCGCACGGGUGAGUAACGCGUACACAACCUACCUUACACAGGGGAAUAGCCUUUAGAAAUGAAGAAUAAUACCCCAUAGCAUAUAUUUAUCGCAUGAUGAAUAUAUUAAAGUUUUGGCGGUGUGAGAUGGGUGUGCGUUAGAUUAGCUAGUUGGUGAGGUAACUGCUCACCAAGGCGACGAUCUAUAGGGGGCGUGAGAGCGUGAUCCCCCACACGGGUACUGAGACACGGACCCGACUCCUACGGGAGGCAGCAGUAAGGAAUAUUGGACAAUGGGCGGCAGCCUGAUCCAGCCAUCCCGCGUGCAGGAAGACGGCCCUCUGGGUUGUAAACUGCUUUUGUAUAGGACGAAACGCUUUCUUUUAAGAGAGUCUGACGGUACUAUAAGAAUAAGCAUCGGCUAACUCCGUGCCAGCAGCCGCGGUAAUACGGAGGAUGCGAGCGUUAUCCGGAAUCACUGGGUUUAAAGGGUGCGUAGGCGGACUAAUAAGUCAGAGGUGAAAUCUUUGAGCUAAACUGAAAAAUUGCCUUUGAAACUGUUAGUCUUGAAAUAUGGUGAGGUUGGCGGAAUGUGACAUGUAGCGGUGAAAUGCAUAGAUAUGUCAUAGAACACCAAUUGCGAAGGCAGCUGACUGGCCAUUAUUUGACGCUGAGGCACGAAAGCGUGGGGAGCGAACAGGAUUAGAUACCCUGGUAGCCCACGCCCUAAACGAUGUUUACUCGAUGUUUGGACGCGAGUCUGGGCAUCCAAGGGAAACCGAUAAGUAAACCACCUGGGGAGUACGACCGCAAGGUUG